RNAcentral lists this ribosomal RNA (433 nucleotides) under uncultured bacterium. RNAcentral describes it as "partial 16S ribosomal RNA". It matches the Rfam family "Bacterial small subunit ribosomal RNA", at positions 29 to 507 of the family's 1533-position model. The record is from RNAcentral.
AACGAACGCUGGCGGCAUGCCUAACACAUGCAAGUCGAACGAGACCUUCGGGUCUAGUGGCGCACGGGUGCGUAACGCGUGGGAACCUGCCCUUAGGUUCGGAAUAACUCCCCGAAAGGGGUGCUAAUACCGGAUAAUGUCUUCGGACCAAAGAUUUAUCGCCUUUGGAUGGGCCCGCGUGGGAUUAGCUAGUUGGUAGGGUAAAAGCCUACCAAGGCGACGAUCCAUAGCUGGUCUGAGAGGAUGAUCAGCCACACUGGGACUGAGACACGGCCCAGACUCCUACGGGAGGCAGCAGUGGGGAAUAUUGGACAAUGGGCGAAAGCCUGAUCCAGCAAUGCCGCGUGAGUGAUGAAGGUCGUAGGGUUGUAAAGCUCUUUUACCCGGGAUGAUAAUGACAGUACCGGGAGAAUAAGCGCCGGCUAACUCCGUG